Molecule: ribosomal RNA, 600 nt
Filed under: Glycocaulis albus
Lineage: Bacteria; Pseudomonadati; Pseudomonadota; Alphaproteobacteria; Maricaulales; Maricaulaceae
Description: bacterial SSU rRNA
Rfam family: Bacterial small subunit ribosomal RNA
Source: RNAcentral
AGCGGCAGACGGGUGAGUAACGCGUGGGAACGUGCCCUUUGGUUCGGAAUAGCCCCGGGAAACUGGGAGUAAUACCGAAUAAGCCCUACGGGGGAAAGAUUUAUCGCCAAAGGAUCGGCCCGCGUUAGAUUAGCUAGUUGGUGGGGUAAUGGCCCACCAAGGCGACGAUCUAUAGCUGGUCUGAGAGGAUGAUCAGCCACACUGGGACUGAGACACGGCCCAGACUCCUACGGGAGGCAGCAGUGGGGAAUCUUGGACAAUGGGCGAAAGCCUGAUCCAGCCAUUCCGCGUGGAUGAUGAAGGCCUUAGGGUUGUAAAAUCCUUUCAGCGGGGAAGAUAAUGACUGUACCCGCAGAAGAAGCCCCGGCUAACUCCGUGCCAGCAGCCGCGGUAAUACGGAGGGGGCUAGCGUUGUUCGGAAUUACUGGGCGUAAAGCGCGCGUAGGCGGAUCAGCCAGUCAGAGGUGAAAGCCCAGGGCUCAACCCUGGAACUGCCUUUGAUACUGUUGAUCUGGAGUCCGGGAGAGGUGUGUGGAAUUCCGAGUGUAGAGGUGAAAUUCGUAGAUAUUCGGAGGAACACCAGAGGCGAAGGCGACACAC